Stegodyphus mimosarum is the source of this 72-nucleotide non-coding RNA. The record is from Rfam. NCBI's taxonomy places the organism in Eukaryota, Metazoa, Arthropoda, Arachnida, Araneae, Eresidae.
GCCUUCGUGGUGUAACGGUUAGCACACUCGGCUGGUAUUCGAGAGGUACAGGUUUGAGUCCCGGCGAGGGCA